UCGUGCUACACGGGGAACUAGCGAUGCCCUUUGCCCGCAAUCGCUUUAGCGGGGUGGACAGCCUACCGUGAGGCUUGAUUGGUAAAGAUCGACAAUAUUAUUGUCCAGUGAAGUUUGGUCUGACACGGCGGAAGCCGGUGAACCUGGUCAGGGCGGGAACGCAGCAGCCAUAAGUCGUAACUUUCGGGUGUCGUCAGAUUGCCAGAUGGAGGGUAGUAAUGUUGUACUACUUUAUUAGUCAGGUCGAAGUGUAGGGCACGG
Candidatus Melainabacteria bacterium GWA2_34_9 is the source of this 261-nucleotide non-coding RNA. The record is from Rfam. NCBI's taxonomy places the organism in Bacteria, Bacillati, Candidatus Melainabacteria.